Molecule: unclassified non-coding RNA, 305 nt
Filed under: air metagenome
Description: partial contains small subunit ribosomal RNA, internal transcribed spacer 1, and 5.8S ribosomal RNA
Rfam family: Eukaryotic small subunit ribosomal RNA (bases 1-46)
Source: RNAcentral
AAGUCGUAACAAGGUUUCCGUAGGUGAACCUGCGGAAGGAUCAUUAUCGAGUUUGUGGCGUCCUCUUGGUUGAGCUGGCUUGAAAGGGCAAGUGCUCGCCGGGAUGUGGCGUUCUUUCUCUAAACCCCCCCUCUUGCUUGUGCACAUCCGCGUGGGUCUGAAGGUAGCUUUAUCCCCUUUUUCGGGGAAGGAAGCGCUCGAAGGCUUGCGUCUUUUUCAUACACUCUUUUGAAAGGAUAACAGAAUGUUUGUCUUGCGUUUACGCAAAACCUAUACAACUUUCAGCAACGGAUCUCUUGGCUCUC